AUGAGAGUUUUGAAAGAUGCCAGAACUACUAAUCAUCAAAAAUUUCCACAUCCACCACCAGAGAAGUAUUAUGUGGUUGAUGCGGGGUACCCAAACCGUCCGGGCUACCUUUCACCAUACAGAUGUACAAGGUACCAUGUGCAACAAUGGCAAAACGGCCCGCCGCCAGAAGGUAUGAAAGAAACCUUCAACCAUGCACAUGCCAAAGUUAGGAAUGUCAUUGAGCGGUCCUUUGGAGUGUUGAUGAUGAAAUUUAGGAUUUUAUUGAACAUGCCAAAAUUUCCAGAGGACAAGCAAACUAGAAUUAUUGUUGCUUGUAUGGCUCUUCAUAAUUUCAUUCGAGAGAGCAGAAUUCCGGAUAGGGAAUUUGAUGCGUGUGAUGCGGAUGAAAACUAUAACCCAAUGCCUAGUUCUUCUGCAUCCGCAUGGCCAGAAGACGAACCUCUUGUUGAAGAUAUCGACAUGAAUGCCUUCCGUGAUGAGUUAGCUCAUGCUUUGUUUCAUGGAGUGUAA
RNAcentral lists this ribosomal RNA (513 nucleotides) under Triticum aestivum (bread wheat). RNAcentral's name for it is "partial small subunit ribosomal RNA". Lineage: Eukaryota; Viridiplantae; Streptophyta; Magnoliopsida; Poales; Poaceae. The record is from RNAcentral.